CUUUGCCUUCUAGAUGCCUUGCUCAUAUUGGAGUUCAAGAUUUUGAGGAUCGCCUAGUCUGCCUGAUUGUUCUAGUAUCACCAGACUGGAGAAACCAACCCAUUAGAACUUAAAACAUACUUGGUUCAUUUGUACACAAGCCCAGGAGGACACCAGCCCCAUG
This is a long non-coding RNA of Lynx canadensis (Canada lynx), 163 nucleotides long. RefSeq lists it as uncharacterized. The transcript has 3 exons. The record is from RefSeq and is a predicted model, not a curated record. Lineage: Eukaryota; Metazoa; Chordata; Mammalia; Carnivora; Felidae.